UGGUCAAGUUAUUAAGGGUGCAGGGCGGAUGCCUUGGCACUAGGAGCCGAUGAAGGACGUGAUAAGCUGCGAUAAGCUUCGGGGAGUUGCACGUAAACUUUGAUCCGAAGAUUUCCGAAUGAGGAAACUCACUUAGAGUAAUGUCUAAGUAUCAUUAAGUGAAUACAUAGCUUAAUGAGGGGAACUCAGGGAACUGAAACAUCUAAGUACCUGAAGGAAGAGAAAGAAAUUCGAUUCCGUAAGUAGCGGCGAGCGAACGCGGAUUAGCCCAAACCAAUAAAGUUUUCUUUAUUGGGGUUGCGGACAUAUCAUAACGAAGAGGUAUCGUAAUUGAAGAGGUUUGGAAAGACCCACCACAGAAGGUAAUAGUCCUGUAUGUUAAACGAGAAGACUUUAGAUAUGAUCCAGAGUACCACGGGACACGUGAAACCCUGUGGGAAGCAGGAGGGACCACCCUCCAAGGCUAAAUACUACCUAGUGACCGAUAGCGUAUAGUACCGUGAGGGAAAGGUGAAAAGAACCCCGGGAGGGGAG
This 534-nucleotide ribosomal RNA is filed under the name Clostridioides difficile. Its description in RNAcentral is "bacterial LSU rRNA". It matches the Rfam family "Bacterial large subunit ribosomal RNA", at positions 1 to 538 of the family's 2925-position model. The record is from RNAcentral. Lineage: Bacteria; Bacillati; Bacillota; Clostridia; Peptostreptococcales; Peptostreptococcaceae.